CCUACGGGGGGCUGCAGUGGGGAAUCUUCCGCAAUGGACGAAAGUCUGACGGAGCAACGCCGCGUGAGCGAAGAAGGUCUUCGGAUCGUAAAGCUCUGUUGUCGGGGAAGAACAAGUACGGUACCUCAGGAGGAAGCCCCGGCUAACUACGUGCCAGCAGCCGCGGUAAUACGUAGGGGGCGAGCGUUAUCCGGAAUCACUGGGCGUAAAGGGUGCGUAGGCGGCCAAUUAAGCCAGAGGUGAAAGGCUUCGGCUCAACCGUAGUAAGCCUUUGGAACUGAAUGGCUUGAGUGCAGGAGAGGAGAGUGGAAUUCCUAGUGUAGCGGUGAAAUGCGUAGAUAUUAGGAGGAACACCAGUGGCGAAGGCGGCUCUCUGGACUGCAACUGACGCUGAGGCACGAAAGCGUGGGGAGCGAACAGGAUUAGAUACCCGAGUAGUC
This 440-nucleotide ribosomal RNA is filed under the name uncultured bacterium. RNAcentral describes it as "bacterial SSU rRNA". It matches the Rfam family "Bacterial small subunit ribosomal RNA", at positions 338 to 795 of the family's 1533-position model. The record is from RNAcentral.